UGUGGGGAGAAGCUGCGGCAG
This 21-nucleotide microRNA is filed under the name Mus musculus (house mouse). RNAcentral describes it as "mmu-miR-7003-5p". The record is from miRBase by way of RNAcentral. Lineage: Eukaryota; Metazoa; Chordata; Mammalia; Rodentia; Muridae.